Molecule: long non-coding RNA, 271 nt
Filed under: Elaeis guineensis (African oil palm)
Lineage: Eukaryota; Viridiplantae; Streptophyta; Magnoliopsida; Arecales; Arecaceae
Description: long non-coding RNA (EGUI_LNC002484)
Source: RNAcentral
GGUGCAUUCGAUUUUAUUCAUAUGGUAAUUUACAAUAAACUGCACAUAUGAAUCAGUAAGAGAUUACAGAAUCAAAGCAAUCUGCAACUCUUUAUCUAUGAAAAUUUUGAGCUUCUCAAGCUCUUCAAAGUCCUUGAUCAUUAUCAAAUAAUACUCAUAGACAGAUUGCCCAUCACAUAUUUUCACCUUGAAAAAUCUCUUGAACUUUGCAGUGAGCUGCGUGACUCUGCUCACCGUACAACUCUUAUAAGUAAGCUAAUAUACUCUUGAC